Cyanistes caeruleus (blue tit) is the source of this 2145-nucleotide non-coding RNA. NCBI's taxonomy places the organism in Eukaryota, Metazoa, Chordata, Aves, Passeriformes, Paridae. The record is from RefSeq and is a predicted model, not a curated record.
UGCUGCGCCUGACCGAGGGGUCCCUGCGGCGCAUGGGGGUCACCCCGAGGAGCCGGCGCCGGGAGCUGCUGCGGGAGCUGCUGCGGCUGCGGCUGCAGGAGGAGAUCCAGGAGCUGCGGAGCAUCGCUGGCGAGUGAGGAUGAUGUCCCUGCAGAUGUCCCGGAGCCGGUGGGAGCAGAGGAGAUGGCGUGUGAGAACAAAGCAGCUGGGACUGAGCAAGACAUGCAGGAAUAGUGCUGGAGGAGCCCCGAGAUCACUGUGACCCCCUGAAAAAUCCAGAGCCUGCCCAGUGCAGGAGCUGACAGCAGAACCUUAGAAGCAAAAUUUGAUCCACGAGGCCGGGCAGCUACCCGGGCCAGGCAGAAAGUAGUCCUAGAACAGAUCUUGUGUGAAAUAGGGGCUCACAAACACAAAGGCACUCACUGGAGUGCUGAAAAACUUCUGAAACCUUUGCAAAAAUCUGUAAUUGGGUUGAAAAUGGCUCAGACUGUGCAAUCAAGAAUCCAACAAAGGGUAGUUUGUUAAAGAAACAACCCUAACAAGGCUAGCAAAAUAAUGCUGGGAGCCAUAAAAUCUGGAAAUGUGGUGGGUGAACAUUGGCAGAUUGAUUCCACUGAAUUGCCCAGACAUGGAGGGUAUAAACCCCUCCUGGUUCUGGUGGCCAGAAUCCUUCCCUUGUCACACCAGCCAGGUUAGGGAAGUGACUGAAGUACUGUCAGUUCAAACCUGGAUUGGGGGUGCCUUUGGGAAUGUCAUCAGACAGAGGUUCCCACGUUAUUGCAGAAGGGCUUCCAGAGCUUGGGAAAGCCUUGGGAAUAGCUUGGGAUCUUCACACUCCUUAUAGGCCCCAGGCUAAUGGCAAAGUGGAGUGAGUGAAUUAUGCAAUCAAAUUGCAAUUGGAUAAUCGGGUAAAAUAUGUCAGGAAACCUCCUUGGCCUGGGUCCAAGCCUGACCUGCUGCUCCACAUCAAAGCAGAAUUCAGCCAUGGGCCACCAGCAAAAUCAGCUCCCGUGAGCUGCUCUGCAGACGACCCUACCAAGUGCCACACUCCAGGAAACAGAGAUGUUAAAAGGAGGGGUCGAUUUGAAUAAUUCCUCAUUUCUCUUAGUAAAAGCUUACAGAAUUUGCAGCGGGCAGUGAUGAUCUCCAGAUGCGAUUGAACGCGCCAGGGCGUGAGUUCAAACUGAGAGAUUGAACCUGCUUGAAUGACAGGGGAACUGCUCCACUCCAGCCAAAGUGGGAGCACUUUCCAAGUGCUGCUGGCAACUUUUACUGCCUUGGAACUGGACACAGUAAAUUCGUGGAUACAUUAAAGCAGAAUUAAAAGGGAUGAAGCCUCUAGGGAAGAAGUCAAGAGCUUGCCAUGAGCUGUUUUACAAAACUGAAUGGCACUAGACCUUGUUUCAGCAUCACAAAGAGGAAUAUGCACUGCCAUAAACUCCAGUUGCUGUGUGAUCAAAGUGGUAGAGUGUCCACAGAUGUCCAGGAAAUCUGAAAACAAACCUACACACAAGCACAGCUCAAGAUGCAUCUCCUGGGGAUUUGAAGAAAUCUGGACCAAACUUUUUUCAUGGGUACUCAGCUGGAUGUGGUAAAACAUCUGUUUAUAAUCUACUCCAUAAUAAUUACUGUAUGCUUUUAGCCUGCAUCAAGACUCAGUGUUGUAGCUGUUUUAAUGCCUUACACUCUGAAAGGAAAUAUAAAUCUUAAAUAGACUGCUUCCCACAAGAAACUUAGUCUCAAGAAAAGGACAGGAGAACAGCACAGCCUUGGAGAAACAGAUAAAGGGUGUAAAUCAGGCAAACAGAAGUCAUGCAAAAUACCAGCUCAGCUUUGCAAGGCACAGUUGUACAAAGCACAAGUUCUGCAAAAGAAGGGUAUUGCCCUUAAUCAAGAGCGAGGGUCGUGGAACAUGCCCCUAAAAAGAACACUGGAUAUUGAAGACAGACCCCAAAGAACCAUUUAAGGACUUCUGGUAAGGUGUGUGACUGUAAAAUUAAGUUAAGUGGGGAUAGCUAAUGAAUAUACAACCUGUGUGUGUGAUAAAAGCUCUGUUCAUCCAACACUCGUCAGACUUGAUCAGAGGAAGUAUCCCCCAAACGAGCAGCGCUGUAAUAAAGAAUGGCUGGUUUCUAAUACUCAAAA